AGUAAUACAUCGGAACGUGUCUUCUAGUGGGGGAUAGCUGCCCGAAAGGGCAGCUAAUACCGCAUGAGACCUGAGGGUGAAAGCGGGGGAUCGCAAGACCUCGCGCUGGAAGAGCGGCCGAUGUCCGAUUAGCUAGUUGGUGAGGUAAAGGCUCACCAAGGCGACGAUCGGUAGCUGGUCUGAGAGGACGACCAGCCACACUGGGACUGAGACACGGCCCAG
This 222-nucleotide ribosomal RNA is filed under the name uncultured bacterium. Its description in RNAcentral is "partial 16S ribosomal RNA". It matches the Rfam family "Bacterial small subunit ribosomal RNA", at positions 109 to 334 of the family's 1533-position model. The record is from RNAcentral.